UUCGGGGCAGCGGUGACAGGUGGUGCAUGGUUGUCGUCAGCUCGUGUCGUGAGAUGUGGGUUAAGUCCCGCAACGAGCGCAACCCUUGGAUUGUGUUGCCAUCAUUUAGUUGGGCACUUACAAUCGACUGCCGGUGACAAACCGGAGGAAGGCGGGGAUGACGUCAAAUCAUCAUGCCCCUUAUGUCCUGGGCUACACACGUGCUACAAUGGGCGGUACAAAGGGUUGCGAAGCCGCGAGGUGGAGCCAAUCCCAGAAAGCCGUUCGUAGUUCGGAUUGCAGGCUGCAACUCGCCUGCAUGAAGCCGGAAUUGCUAGUAAUCGCGGAUCAGCAUGCCGCGGUGAAUUCGUUCCCGGGCAUUGUACACACCGCCCGUCACACCAUGGGAGUUGGCAACACCCGACAUCGGUGAGGUAACUCG
RNAcentral lists this ribosomal RNA (421 nucleotides) under uncultured bacterium. Its description in RNAcentral is "bacterial SSU rRNA". It matches the Rfam family "Bacterial small subunit ribosomal RNA", at positions 1019 to 1442 of the family's 1533-position model. The record is from RNAcentral.